UACGGAGGGUGCAAGCGUUAUCCGGAUUCACUGGGCUUAAAGGGUGCGUAGGUGGGUUGGUAAGUCAGUGGUGAAAUCCCCGAGCUUAACUUGGGAACUGCCAUUGAUACUAUCAGUCUUGAAUACCGUGGAGGUCAGCGGAAUAUGUCAUGUAGCGGUGAAAUGCUUAGAUAUGACAUAGAACACCAAUUGCGAAGGCAGCUGGCUACUCGGAUAUUGACACUGAGGCACGAAAGCGUGGGGAUCAAACAGG
This 253-nucleotide ribosomal RNA is filed under the name uncultured bacterium. Its description in RNAcentral is "partial 16S ribosomal RNA". It matches the Rfam family "Bacterial small subunit ribosomal RNA", at positions 524 to 776 of the family's 1533-position model. The record is from RNAcentral.